UCUAAUGAUGGGUCCUGUGGGCCAUCUUGGCUAUGGCAUAGGAUUUCAGGUUGUACCCUGUACCAUGGUGCCACGCUCAGGGAGGGACAGGUAUAGGCUAAACUCUGAUUUGUGCUCCCUUCACUUAGGUGCACAUACCUAGAAUUAUGUGUGCAUGAUGGGGUGCUUUUACUAUGUUGUACAAAGGCAGCCAAUUUGUGGGUAAGGUAGGUCACAUCGUUCCCAUUCUGUAGGAAAAGAACUUGACCAAGGUUCAGGAGAUUUAGAGGAUGUGUACAAACUGAUACAGCUAGAAAUGGCACAACAGAAAUUUAAAGCUGUCUUCUGCAUAGCAUUCUUCCACCACUCCAUACAAUCAUUUUGUCUUGCUAAAUUUCAGUUAUGAUGGCUUAUAGGGAACUGCCCAAUGCAGGACAGCAAUAUGGAGACUUAUCAAAUUUUAUAUUUUUCUUUCAGGCUUUAUGAAGAUAAAAAUUUUGAAAUAUUCCUGCUCAAAUUCCAGGAAGAUAAAAACUAUUUUCCCAAAAACCAUUGAGUAAAAAAGAAAUACUGGAAUUUAGUCACUAAGAAUAGCAACUGUUCAUGUUGCUGAGAGAACAUACUCUGAAGACUUUUGCACAAGUGGCUCCCAAUAGGUGACUAAAAGAAUGGCCAAGACUGACUGGCUAGCCCAGGACUAUGAAAAGGGUCAGCUACCAGGUGAGUGAGUCCAGCAGUCAACAGGACAGAAUUUUAACAGGAGGAAGUAAGUCUCCCUUCAUGUUGUAGAAACAGUACUUCUGAACACUGCAACACUAAGAGGGCCUGGGGAAAGGAUCAAUAUUUUCAAAACUAUGUUCAAAUUGAGAAAAAAAAUCAAGAAAAACAGACUUCCUAAAAAAAGUGCAGGAGAGGGAAGUGGGAGAUAGAGGAGAUAGAGUUCCUGUUGUCUCUGAAAAUAACAGCAGCCUGUGAAACCUGAAAGUUUUUGCUUUGUUUUUUCUGCCCUUUGGAGAAGUUUGAGGAGUUAAACCUGUACCACCCUUCUUUCCCUUUAUCCACUGAUGUAAAAAUUAGGAUGCAAAAGAAACAAGCUGCAUUACACAUUUCCAGAGAGUAAUUAUAGGGUCUCAUAUUUGAGCCACUGAUGCAGGACUAAGAGGAGUUCUUGGGGGAUGAGCAGGAGGAAAAUCCAUGACUACAUACAGUUCCUUGUAACCCCUGCCUGAGACUUAGAUCCUUACCAGUCAUAACAUGGAACAGUUCUACCACUCAGGCUGCUUUUGGAGAAAAAGGCUUGAGUAUAGAGCUACAUACAUAGUAUUGUUUGUGCAGAGUGAAGGAGGGUGUGCUUGUGUGUGUGUGUGUGUGUGGGGGGGGGAGAAUUGAAAAGCAAAAUUAAGAAGAGAACCUGACUCAAAAUAUAUCAAGGUGAGGAAAGUUAAUACCCUAAAAGCUAGUAUGAAAAUUCUUCUUGGGAGUCAGGCGUGGUGGUACAUGCCUCUAAUGCCAGCCCCUGGGAGCUAUGGGUUCAAGGCCAGCCUGGGCUACACAGCAAGAUCCUGUCUCAAAAGCCAAAAGAAAAAAUCUGAAAUCAUGUUUUUAUGAAAAAUAAGUAAAUGUGGGAUAAAGAGAGGUAAACAGAGGAAGGUGAAUUAUCAACAGAAAGGGGCAGGUAAAGUCCAGGUACAAAGAGAUGGUAAAACUACUUCCUCUCCAUUGGGAGGAACAGGCUUGGAUAUACAGAAAGAUAAGCCAACAAAGCCAAGGAGACUAGGCGUGAAGAACAAUAGGUCAAGCAACAUAACAGAUGCCUGGAGUAUGCACUCUUCAUUUGUUUUGUUUUGUUUUUUAUACUGUUUACUUCUUUAACUAUUACCUUUUAAUCUCCAAAUCUUUAGUAAAAUCUGCUAUAUGCACAUACAUACACAUUUUUAUGAAUGACUACUGUAGAAACCACAGCAAAUUUCAAGCCUGAAUCAGAACUGUACAGAAGAGAAAAGUUUGCUUAUGAGUGCCAAAAAAUCUAUUAUCUAAAUUAUUUCCAUGGAAGCAGAAAUUGAUACCUCAAAAACUGAAUCUCUCCAGGAGUGGGCCAAAACUGUGAGAGGGUAUUGGACUAGGGUUUAACAUUUUCUACAUCUUUAGGAGCAGCUGAUACCCAGUUUACAAAAGUAUAUAAAAGGUCUCACAAUUGAAGUUCUUUGACAAAGCAAUGUACAUGUAAAAUUGAUCUAUGACUGUGAUAAUAUUUACAUGGUAUUUCUGGAAAAGAUAUCCAAAGAUUGGAUGAAACGGAUUCACUAAAAUUGGAUUCCUGAAUGCCUCUCAGUAAAUACUGAUAUUCAAAGCAAAAUACUGAUUUGAAAGCAAAAUAGAGUUACUCAAGCUAUUGAAAUGUGAAGGAAGCCAAUCACAAACAGAUGAGUUUCUCUAAUCUAGGGGAGCAUAGUAAGAAAGUCCCCUCUGCUUAACCUGAAGUAACCUUUAACCAGUCAGCCUUUUCUCUAUGGUUCACACCCCAUGGUUUUGCUAAUGCCCAGUGGCAGCUCUCCUUUUAUUAUGUAGAGCAGAGGCUGCCCCAAUUCAUGAAUCCCAAAUAAAAGCCAAUUAGAUCUACAAUUAAAUUUGUUAGAAUUGUGUCUUUUGACAGAAUCUGUCUUAGUUACUUUUCUCUCAUUGCUGAGACAAAAGACCUGACACUCAGAGUUAAAGGAGGAAAUUUUAUUUAGCUCAGUUUGUAGAGAGUUCAGUCCAUAAUUAACUGGCUUUAAGGCAGGUUGGCACAUGGCAGAGGGCAACCAUUCAUGGUGGCAGAACACAGUGAAACCAACAAUAGAGGGAAGGGAUGAGCCUCUUUCUGUCCCUUAUGUUGUUUGCACUUACCCUAGAGUAAUUGUAGCACUCACAUUCUUAAUUCCAGCAUUGAACCCCAAUCAUUCACAAACUCUAGAUUCAGCCACCUCUGAAAAGCUACCUCUCAUGACUGGAUAAGGCUUAGGGGGGACAUUUAAGUAACAUACUGUGAUGAUAUAAAAGUAGGAUCUACUUAUUUGGGCCACUGCCAAAGAAGCAUCAUGGCGAAAAGCAGACUCCACUGGUGACAGCCAGUGGAGAAGGUAUCACAGUCACAUGUAUGAGAUACUGCAGGGCUGUCUAAACAGAAGUUAAAACAAAACAAAAUCACUUAGCUUCAGAGAAACCACUUGAAAUAACAAAGAUAGACCAACAUAAAUAAGGACCAGUUUAUCUAGUACAUGUAAGAGCUAUAAAUGACGCCUCUGGUAAAUGUGAGUGCUGGGGAGAUCUGCAUGUACCUCUUGGAGAGGCCAUCAGGCUGCAGUCUCUACUACUGUCAGUUUGUUAGGUUAGGGGCACAAGAACAAUAAACUCUUCAAAGGUCAAACAAGGAGAAACAUUUGUAAAUCAGAAAUGAGUGCGAGAAGGGCCCAAAUUUAUGCUUGCUUUUCAUAAAGAAAUUCAUAAUCAAUUCCUCUACAUCCAGAAAAAAAAACCCUGGUGAUAUUUUUAUUAUGAUUACAUUUUAUAGAUUAACUGAAGAAAUUACUAUAAAUUUUAUAGUGUUUGUUUACAUUUAAUUUUGUCUUUCAAGUGUGUUUUAUAGUUUUCCUCAUGGAUUUUGUAUAUUCACUGUUAAGUUACACCUAUUUAUUUUUGCUACCAAAAUUUUGUCUCUUCUUUUAAAACAUUAGUUUUGAACACAGAAGGUAGAGGGCUCCCUACCCUCAUGCCAUGGUUCAGUGAGUCCUGGUAAGUCUGGUGGAUCCUAUUCCAGAUCUGUAUUUGUGCAUUUACAUACAUACGAUAUGUAAACAAAUGAGAUUUUACUGUUCUUUGUUAUUUCUGCAAUUCAUAUAUAUGUAGUGACUUUCCACUUUGAUAGGAUGUCUUGGAGAUUUUAACAUACUGGCAUUUGGAAAUCUAUUUCUUUCUGGGAGCCGCAGAAGUAUGUAUUGCAGAUGCAGUACAGUUUCUUAAAAGACACUCCCCAGAUGGAGUGCAUGAAGGCAAUUUUGCUAUUUAAAAAUGUGCCAGUCACCAAAGAUUAGAUAUUGUCUGAUAUUACAUGGCACACUGGAAAAACCAGAUAAGGGCACAGAACAGAUCAAAGGUUAGGGUGCGUCUGCAAGUUCAUUAUAGAGGUCAGUGCUAUUCUAGGAUUCCUUAAUGUGUUGAGAUGCUUCUGCUUCCCUAUCAGUAGUGGUGACUACGAGUCUUACAACUCAAAGACAACAUUGUUUAGAUAAAGGAUGCAUUUUUUUAUGGUACUGGGGAUCAAACUUACCAACUUGCACAUGCCAGGCAGGUGCUUGUGCCACUCAACUAAAUUCCUGGCCCCUAAAAGGGAGCAUUCUUGAAGAUGGGAAGGUUAAAUGCUGCCCAAUAUUAACAUGCUCCAUACUUUUUCCUGGUACUUUUAUGUAUUAUAUGUGAGUCUCUAUUUUUAACUUUUGUGAUUUUUAAAAGUCCAAACUAAUCACUUCUUUUUUAUGAGUAAACAAUCAAAUACAUUAUUUGCUUAUUCAUAUAUGGGUACUUGGACUUACUUUUAAAUUUAAAAUUUUUAUUUAUACUAAUUUUCUCCUUUUUGUCUUCGGUUGCCUUGGUAACUUUUUCCACAUCUCUUAUCUCUCACCACUCUUCUUGCCCUCUUUAGUGAGGAAGUAUAGAUUGUAGGGCUGGGGAUUUAGCUCAGUGGCGUAAGCACCUGCAAGCAGGCAGUAGUUGAGUUCGAUCCCCGGUACCGAUAAAAACUUAAAAACUAAAAAAAAAGUAUAGAUUGUAUUUCUAUUCUUCAAGAGGUUGCCUGUCAUUUUCCUUUCCAGAGUGUUAAUCCAUGGAACAAUGCCAUUUUGUGGUCCCCAGUUUCUUUUAGCUUUCUUUUGAAAUACAAUUUUUUUUACAAUCUGUAGUUGAUUGCGAUUAGUUAUAUAUUAAAGCAGGUGUCCACUAAUUCUCUUGAAUUCUAUGCUUCCUCUGUGUUUAUUUUCUCUUUGAAGUGUUUUUAUCUUUUCAUUAUUCUUAAUAAGGGUCUCUGAGGAUGGGAAACUCAUAUGCUUUGGAGAUCUGAAAAUGUCUAUUACUUUCAUUCUUGAAAAAAAGUUUGGUAAGUUAUAAAGUUCUGUGUUGAAAGUAAUCUCCCCUCAGCGUUUUCUCUUCGCUUAUAAUUUUGCUGGUGAGAGACUUGCUAUCAAUUUGAUUUUGUUUUAUAGGAGGCAGUCUUUCUCUAUGGUUGCUUUUCAAAUUUUACCAGUAAUUUAUCUACAGUUUCACUUUAAUUUUAAGAAUAUAUGGAUUCAUCUUAUUCCAUACCUAAAGCCAAGGAUCAGGUUUUCUUCAAUUUUGGAAAAUUAGCAAGUACUUCUUCAAAGUUUGCUUCAAAAAUUGCUCCAUCCAUUCGUACACAACUCCUAUUAGACCUAAGUAAAUACAGUCUGUCUUCCUGUAGACACACUGUGUGUGUUCUUAUGUUUGUGCUGAGCUCUGGGUGGGUAAAGUCAGAAUCCUGUCUAAUUCAUUACUUCUUUUUGUAAUUAAAUACAAUAUAGCUGUUCUAUCAGUUCAUAUUUUAACAUUAGUUAUUCAUUUAUUUUUUGUGCUAGGGCUGAAUCCAGCACCACAUGGAUGUACCAUAGAACUACAUCCCCAUCCCCCACUGAACCUUUGAUUUCCAAUACCUAAAUUUUUUUGUAUUCACCUGCUCUUCAGUCAUAUCUACUUACCUUUUAAUAUCAUGACUUUAUCAUUCUGACUACUCUAGAUACAUUUAUUUUCCAUUUAUUGUCAGCUAUUCUGAAACUUGGUUCACCUUGAGUGAAUCCAGUAUUCCAAGUUCUAAAUUCAAUGAUUACCUUUCUUAGCAGUUUUCUUCAUGAGUGGCAGACACAUUCUGAGUGGGGCGUUAUUUUCCAGUCUCUCUUGUGUGUGAUUUUAUGGUUUCCUGCACUUAGCUGCAGCUCUCAGCGAAUCACUGGGUUUUAUGGUGGGGAGACGGGGGCAGGCUCAGUGACCUCCUGGGUGGGAAGCACCCCAGAUGGUCAGGUCCAGUGCCCAGUUAAUCAGUAUUCUUCUCAGUUUCCUUUUGGGAGCGUGAGCACUGGCUUCAAAGAGUGACCAAGCUGCGGCCUCUUAUCUUGCUUGAUGCAUUUAUAGUUCUCUUUACUGGCAGGAGCUGAGCUUCUGGCUGUUACCACUUAGUUUUGGAUGACAGCCCAGCAAUUGAUUCAGCUGCAUUUGCAUUCCACAAAAUGCUUAUCUGGUGUUCGGGUCUAUGUAUGUGUUUUUGUUAUCUCUUUUUAUAUUUUAUCUAUUAUGGCUAUAUGUGAACAGAAGAGUGUUUUGAAGUAUAAUAUUUUACCAGCUUUUCUAUAACGGCACGUGUAUUUCAAUAUAAAUUUUGUCAGGACAAAUUAAAGUUAUGCCAAAUCAGCAAAAUUAAAAAUAUGCUUGGAUAGUGCCAAACAAGGAAAACUUUAAAAAGUAAUGCAUGAUGGGCAUCUGGGAGGUCACUGCCUCAGAAUGGGAAAAUACCCUGAUACUCCAAACCAGCCAGUAUUUAUUGGGUGUGUACAAUGCAAUGGGUAUAUUCAAUGAUAGGAGGGGCUGGUGGCAGAUUCCAGAUUGGGGUGGCUGAAGAUUCAGACGUUGAUAACACUGCGGGCAACAGAUAAUGCUGGGAAGUCCCAAGAUGGAAAGAUGAUCUUAUGCUAAGAAGAAUCUUGCUCUGGAGUGUUCUUUUUCAUCUUUAUAGUCUUAUUUUAGUCUUAGUGGGUGGGAGAGGAUGGCCCAUCCCAAGAGUUAAUUGGAAGUCUCAAAAGAAUGAUACCAUAAUCCCAAACCUCCAUUUAUCCUUUAGAGAAGUAUACAAAAUUAGCCAUUGUGAAUUUGUGGCCCCAAUAUAUCCCCCUUUUUCGUUUCUGUAAUAGCAGCAGUUAGGAUUUCUUACAGAUAUUAUUGUAAUUUAUUCUUGAUUGUCCAGAAUGGUGAUCAAUUACUGGGUUAGCUGGAAACUGCCAAAAUAGGUUAUGAUUGGAACUCCUUCCUAUGUCUAACUUAUUAUGACAUUAUUUUAUGUCUUUUGAUGUUCAAGACCAAGUUAAAUUCAGACCAAAAUAAGUUGAGACCUGUACUAAUAAAAUUAACCUCUUGCUGUCUAUCAAGAUCAGUUACAUCCCCUCAGGAUUUGCCUUGGAACCAUGUAUACAGCCUCUCAGUUCUUGACAGUGUCAGCUGUCAGGAUGACUUCCGACCACUGUUGACUGUAAGUUGCUUUCUGUGAAAGCCUGGGAGAUUUUUCUUCUUUGGGUGAUUCUCCUUAGGUACACCUCCUUAGGUAGGAUAUUGUAGAUCACUUUCCUUUGAGGUCCCACAAUCUCCAUGAUCAGAAGACCAGGGACUCAGAGUUAUGGGACUGAAAAAGAAAACUUACACUGCCAUGUUAUUUGCUCCCCUAAAAGGCUAAAUUUCUUUACAUAUUUUCCACCAACAGUACAUGAAUACUUAGUUUCCCACAUCCACAGUAAUAAAGUCCAUGGCUGUUUUUCUAUGAACUACUGCCCUUAUAUUCUUCAUUUUGAAUUUUAAAAUCACAGUCAUGCCCAUAUCAACACAGCAAAGGGAGUGAAGGAGAAAACUUGCCUGGUGUGAUAAAAUUGGUGGUACCGUUUAUUCUAGCAGAUUAUCUUAGGAUCCAAAGUAUUCUUUGACAGUGUCUUAUUAAAAAGACAAUGCUUUAUUUAGUUAGGGUAUAAUUUUGAACUAAAUGGAUAAAGUGGAGCCACAAAAAGACAGAGCAAGAUAAAGGCAAUUUCCAACUCCCUUCACCAUUUCUUCACCCGACAGCUUUCACUACAGCUGCUACCGAAGAGUUUACCCGAAGUUGAUCGUCCAGUCUUGCCUCCAAUCUGACAGACAAACCAAGUGAUUAUUACCUCUCCAGACCUUAGAAUGAAGUAACAAGAAACACAUCCAAGGACCUAUUCCUGAGAUUUCUUCAGAGAACAAGCUAUUCUCUGCCAAAUAAAACUUACUGAGUAUCUACUAGGCAUAUAUGCUAGGUAUCACAAGAGCCAAGAGAUAUAACCAGUGUUUGUUGUUCAGUCUUGUUGGAGACAUGAAAAGUCAAACAAGGCACAAAGAAUGCAGUGUGUCCACCAUAUGCAAGCAUGAUAAGAGCUCCAGUUUAGAGUAAUCAGGGAAGGUUCCAUUCAGGUCUUUAAACUCUAGAGGACAAGAAGGUUAUGAUCUUGCAGGUUUCAGAGACAGGAGCAAAAGAUUGCACUUGGUGAGAGGAAAGAAAAAGCUUGAGAAGAUGGAUUGUUAUUCUUUCCUUUGUAGAUCCCCAUCUCCAGGUUAACAGGUCAGAAAUAGAAGGGGAGGGAAAUAACGGUCAUGUCAUCACACUAUUGGUUAACGCACAAAGUGAAGUACCAUCUCCCAGAAAGAAGAUGCUAGAGGACAAGUAGGCACCCAUACUUAAAAGAUAUAUUUAUUCUUAUCAGUGGUAGAAUUUACUCUAAAAAUGGAGAUUUCUGUCUCAAGAUUACUGAAAAUAAAAAACAAAACACAAAAACACUCUGAUGCCAAAGAAAAAAAGGAACAAAAAAGGCAGGGUAGCUGGCUCUAUAGGAGUGAAUAUCCAAAUGCUUUUGAGUUUAGGAAAUGUCUUAUUCACAAGCUUAGCUAUUCUCCAAGUAUAAUGCUGUGUAUUUAGAGGCAAUCACCACUAGAGCACAAAAAUAGACAUUCGUGAGAACCACACAUGCUGCAUCACUGUCACCAGAACAAACAAGGUCCUUGUCUCCAGGGACCAGGGAAAAGCAAAUCUCUAAGUGCACGGCAUCAUUUCCUGCUUGCUGUACACACGCUAUCUUCUUUCUUCCUCUUUUCUCCCUUUAAAAAAUUACUUCUAUUAGUACACACUGUAUUUGUCAUAUAUUAUGAUCUAGGGAAUUUGCACCUAAACGUAAUUAUGUCUUCUUUUUUUUUCCCUUUCCCCUUUCCUCCUUUUAACUCUUUUUCUCCAUUUACAAAAGCUUUGUUUCCAUUUCCCUCCUCGAUUCCUUCCCUCCUCUUCUCUUAUUCUCCUUCCAGUUUGAGUAUGUUCUUCCUACUUCCCAAUAUGUAUCAUCUUUUAUGUACUAUAUUUACCUUUUGGGUUUCUCACAUAUGAGAAACAAUACAAUAUUUAAACUAGUAUGUCUGAUUUAUUUCACGUAACAUUAUCAUCUCAAGGUGCAUCCAUUUACCUAAAAACAAGUUAAUUCUUUAUUGUGGAGUAGUACUCCACUGUAUAUAAUCACCAUAUUUUCUUUAUCCAUUCAUAUGUUAAUGGGCAUAUAGACUGUUUCCAACAUUUAGGUAUAAUAAAUAAGGCUGUUAUAAACAUAUAUAUGCACAUAUCAUUGUGAUACGAUGCUUUUAACUUUUUCAGGAAUAUGCCUAGAAAGGUACCACUGGAUCAAAUGGAACCACUGGAGGAAUCCCCACUCUACAGUGCUUGCACCAGUCUGCACUCCCACCAACAAUGGAGAAGAUGUAACAGGCGUUUGAAAUAGUGUCUAUUUCACUGCAUUUUCCACUGUACCUACAGACAACGAGGAAGGCUGCUGUUGAAAAUUAUUUUCACUGGGAGGAGAGGUCACCAUGAGGUGGGCAGGCAUCUUCUGCCAUGCAGUCCUCAACUAUGUGCUGCCUCGCUCCAGGACCAAAGGCAACGGGCCAGCUGAGCAAGGACUGAAACCUCCCCAACCAUGAAGCAAAGUAAACCUUUCUUUUUUUUGAAGUUGACUUACCUCAGGAAUUGUUACAGUGAUGACUAGUACAAGACUCUUAUCUCCAUCUAAAUGAUAGACACUGAAUAAGCAACAUGCACCCGAGGCUGCGUAAAAAGGGGAAAAAGAGGCCCCUUCUUUUCUUGGUAUGCAUUUUCCUUUCAUGGCACAUCCUCACUGCCUUUACUGUGACCCAGGAUUUGGGGUUAAUUGUCCUCUUCUGUGAGAAAUAUUUUCUCCUUAUGUUAUGGAAGGAAUAAAAGGGGCUAAUGAGUGUCAAAAUGAAAACUUUCUUCCUUCUGCUUUUUUUAGGUCUAAUAAUCCAGCUCUUCAUAUCUGUCUUCUUACUUAAUCCUAAUUAAAAAUGAAAGGGAAAGGCUACGCAUGCUGAUCCAUCUGCUAAAUCUUGUUGCAUAGAUUUUCAUUCUCAAUACCAAAUUAAUAACUGUACAAUAAAUAUCCCAUACAGAACCCAACUCUCUCUGUUAUUUAUUUAUUGGUCUUUUUCAGACAAGGUUUUACUAUGCAGUUUAGGCUGGCCUUAAACUCACUUCAUGGCCCAGGUUAACCUUGAACUUGCAGCAAUCCUCUUGCCUCAGCCUCCCAUGUGUUGGGUUACAGGGAUGCACCAUCAUGCCCCGAUGUCAACUGUCUCUUUCAAACUCAUUAGUGGUUAUAACUUUGGAAAAUGUUAUUAAUUUUGUAUUGCUACUUUAGGUCUUUUUUUAAAAAAUUCAUUUUUUUUUUGGUUCUUUAAGAAUGUUUAAAAAUUCAGUACCCAGGAGACACAUUCACCUAUGACCCAUCUACUUGGCAUCUGUGCAAUGUCUGAUGCUAUUUCCUCAUUUUAAUAAACAGAGCUCCUUUCUGUUACCACCACUAGGCUGCAGGCUUCUUCAGAGUAGAGCGUUUAUGUCAUGCAUAUGUGUGCCCUUAAGACAUAUGUUGCAGACAAACCACACAAGCUAAAUAAAUUACUUCACCUAGUCCUAGUAUGAUUAAAAUUUCAGACCAGCUCACAUUUUGUUUUUCCUGACACCUUAUGGCUUCGUUUCUCUAUGAAUCUUGACAACCUUAUUGCCCCAGCUGUGUUCCAGUCAGAUGCUUCGGUGAUAACUACGGACAGGUACUAAUCCAUCAUCACUUGCAAGUACUACUUCAGGAGCUCUUGUCUUAUUCUAUUUUUGCAUCCCCAUCACUCUCCACUGAGCCUAGAAAACAACAGGACCCGAACAACUGCUUGCUGAAUAAAUCAAUAUAGGUUCAUAGGUGAAUGUAGGUGAUGGUUCAUGGAGCAGCGAUCAUUCAACUCAGAUUUGGGGUGACCCUAAUUAGCUGCAGUGACAGUGAUAAUUAGCAACUGUGCUAAAGUUGAAUGUUUUUGAUAGAUUUGAUUAUUUUCUCUCUCAUAUGUUUCUUUAUACCUUGGAG
Molecule: long non-coding RNA, 11204 nt
Organism: Cavia porcellus (domestic guinea pig)
Lineage: Eukaryota; Metazoa; Chordata; Mammalia; Rodentia; Caviidae
Exons: 3
Source: RefSeq, a predicted model, not a curated record